This 206-nucleotide ribosomal RNA is filed under the name uncultured bacterium. RNAcentral describes it as "partial 16S ribosomal RNA". It matches the Rfam family "Bacterial small subunit ribosomal RNA", at positions 524 to 730 of the family's 1533-position model. The record is from RNAcentral.
UACGGAGGGUGCGAGCGUUAAUCGGAAUUACUGGGCGUAAAGGGUGCGUAGGUGGUUUGAUAAGUUAUCUGUGAAAGCCCUGGGCUCAACCUGGGAAGGCCAGAUAAGACUGUUAGACUGGAGUAUGGGAGAGGUAGUGGAAUUUCCGGUGUAAGCGGUGAAAUGCGUAGAGAUCGGAAGGAACACCAGUGGCGAAGGCGGCUCCU